CCGCCCCCAAGCUGCAUUCACCCCUCCCGUCGGCGCGGUCAGCGGGUCGCUGACCACCUUCUUGUCCAGCUACGGGGAUGGUGACGUCACCCUGACCAACUCGACGCGCAGCACGCGCAGCCGCGUGAGCGUCGGCAUCGAAGUGAUUCAUGUCCGGGGCAGCAGCUUCCCCCAGCCCAGCAGCCGGCCCCCGACGCUCAAGGAGACCAAGGACCCUAAAAAAACUGACAGUGACAGCGACCAGCUCACGGACCUUUACAGCCCGGAGGCGUAGCGGUAGCUAUCAGUGUAUCUCUUUCCUUGCUGACCUUGCACAGGAUGUGACGUUUUAAUUUUAUUUUAAGAAUAACUCCCUUAGCUGAGUGUUUUCAGUCUCAAUGUAUCAUAUUUUUUAAAAUAAUUUCAUUAGUUAAGUUAAUGAACCCUUUUACCUUUUUCUGUGAUUUCUGUGAUUCUCAGUGUGACAUAUUUUCAGAAUAAUUUUCUAAACAAGGCUUAGCCCAGUGUUUUAGUCUUCAGUGUGCCAUAUGCCAUAUAGUUUAAGGAUUUAAGUCAACCCUUAGACCCGUUUCUGUGAUUUUCGUCUCAAUGUGAAAUACUUUUUCAGAAUAUAAUUUAUUA
Molecule: long non-coding RNA, 621 nt
Organism: Thrips palmi
Lineage: Eukaryota; Metazoa; Arthropoda; Insecta; Thysanoptera; Thripidae
Exons: 3
Source: RefSeq, a predicted model, not a curated record